GUCCACGCCGUAAACGAUGUCGACUAGCCGUUGGGAGCCUUGAGCUCUUAGUGGCGCAGCUAACGCAUUAAGUCGACCGCCUGGGGAGUACGGCUGCAAGGUUAAACUCAAAUGAAUUGACGGGGCCCGCACAAGCGGUGGAGCAUGUGGUUUAAUUCGAAGCAACGCGAAGAACCUUACCAGGCCUUGACAUCCUAUGAACUUUCCAGAGAUGGAUUGGUGCCUUCGGGAGCAUAGAGACAGGUGCUGCAUGGCUGUCGU
RNAcentral lists this ribosomal RNA (261 nucleotides) under uncultured bacterium. Its description in RNAcentral is "partial 16S ribosomal RNA". It matches the Rfam family "Bacterial small subunit ribosomal RNA", at positions 793 to 1055 of the family's 1533-position model. The record is from RNAcentral.